Molecule: long non-coding RNA, 245 nt
Filed under: Olea europaea subsp. europaea
Lineage: Eukaryota; Viridiplantae; Streptophyta; Magnoliopsida; Lamiales; Oleaceae
Source: RNAcentral
GAGUAUAUAUACCAUGGGGCGUAAAAUUCAACAACGAUGAAGUCGUUCUUGGCCACAACUUCGGAGAAGUUGGAAUGAUCCAAAGUCAACACUUUCUUGCCUUCCUCAGCUACUACAGAUACACUCAACAAGGCCGUAGGAGCCACAGUAAGUACCAAAAUGGCACUCAAAACCAGAGUUUCCAUCUCUACACUACAGACACACAGUCACACACACACUGUAAAUGCAAAUAUCUCGUUCUUUCG